CAGUAGCCGCGGGAAUACGUAGGGUGCAAGCGUUAAUCGGAAUUACUGGGCGUAAGGCGUGCGCAGGCGGUUAUAUAAGUCAGAUGUGGAAUCCCCGGGCUCAACCUGGGAACUGCAUUUGAGACUGUAUGGCUAGAGUGUGUCAGAGGGGGGUAGAAUUCCACGUGUAGCAGUGAAAUGCGUAGAUAUGUGGAGGAAUACCGAUGGCGAAGGCAGCCCCCUGGGAUAACACUGACGCUCAUGCACGAAAGCGUGGGGAGCAAACAGGAUUAGAUACCCCAGUAGUCCCUGUCUCUUAUAC
Molecule: ribosomal RNA, 301 nt
Filed under: uncultured bacterium
Lineage: Bacteria
Description: partial 16S ribosomal RNA
Rfam family: Bacterial small subunit ribosomal RNA
Source: RNAcentral